RNAcentral lists this ribosomal RNA (468 nucleotides) under uncultured bacterium. RNAcentral describes it as "partial 16S ribosomal RNA". It matches the Rfam family "Bacterial small subunit ribosomal RNA", at positions 28 to 507 of the family's 1533-position model. The record is from RNAcentral.
GACGAACGCUGGCGGCGUGCUUAACACAUGCAAGUCGAACGGAAAGGCCCUGCUUUUGUGGGGUGCUCGAGUGGCGAACGGGUGAGUAACACGUGAGUAACCUGCCCUUGACUUUGGGAUAACUUCAGGAAACUGGGGCUAAUACCGGAUAGGAGCUCCUGCUGCAUGGUGGGGGUUGGAAAGUUUCGGCGGUUGGGGAUGGAAUCGCGGCUUAUCAGCUUGUUGGUGGGGUAGUGGCUUACCAAGGCCUUGACGGGUAGCCGGCCUGAGAGGGUGACCGGCCACAUUGGGACUGAGAUACGGCCCAGACUCCUACGGGAGGCAGCAGUGGGGAAUAUUGCACAAUGGGCGGAAGCCUGAUGCAGCAACGCCGCGUGCGGGAUGACGGCCUUCGGGUUGUAAACCGCUUUCGCCUGUGACGAAGCGUGAGUGACGGUAAUGGGUAAAGAAGCACCGGCUAACUACGUG